RNAcentral lists this long non-coding RNA (270 nucleotides) under Lathyrus oleraceus (garden pea). RNAcentral's name for it is "Pisum sativum (pea) long non-coding RNA (PSAT_LNC002565)". Lineage: Eukaryota; Viridiplantae; Streptophyta; Magnoliopsida; Fabales; Fabaceae. The record is from RNAcentral.
GAGAAGAAUGGUGACACCUUCAAGGUUAAUGGUCAGAGGUUGAAACCAUAUAAUCCCGGUGAAGGGGGACCAAUUGAAACUGUUAAACUCAUCUAAGUAUGAGGUGUCCCGUCGAGCCAUGCGACGUUAAACAAAGCGCUCCUUGGGAGGCAACCCAAGGGAGGUUUGAAAUUUCUUUGUGUAUUUUUCUUUUUGGUUUAUUCAGUUUUUAUUUUCUGUUGCCUUGAUGUAAUCACCUAUUAUGGGUUGUCUCAAUCUAAUGAACUUGAU